GGGAGUGGGUUGCAAAAGAAGUAGGUAGCUUAACCUUCGGGAGGGCGCUUACCACUUUGUGAUUCAUGACUGGGGUGAAGUCGUAACAAGGUAACCGUAGGGGAACCUGCGGUUGGAUCACCUCCUUACCUUAAAGAAGC
This 140-nucleotide ribosomal RNA is filed under the name Escherichia coli. RNAcentral's name for it is "partial 16S ribosomal RNA". It matches the Rfam family "Bacterial small subunit ribosomal RNA", at positions 1406 to 1533 of the family's 1533-position model. The record is from RNAcentral. Lineage: Bacteria; Pseudomonadati; Pseudomonadota; Gammaproteobacteria; Enterobacterales; Enterobacteriaceae. RNAcentral also lists the same sequence under 4 other names.